UACAGAGGUGGCAAGCGUUGUUCGGAAUUACUGGGCGUAAAGGGCGCGUAGGCGGUUCGUUAAGUCCUGUGUGAAAUCCCCCGGCUCAACUGGGGAACUGCACAGGAAACUAGCGGGCUUGAGUUCGGGAGGGGGAAGCGGAAUUCCCAGUGUAGCGGUGAAAUGCGUAGAUAUUGGGAGGAACACCUGCGGCGAAGGCGGCUACCUGGACAGAAACUGACGCUGAAACACGAAAGCGUGGGUAGCAAACAGG
This 253-nucleotide ribosomal RNA is filed under the name uncultured bacterium. RNAcentral's name for it is "partial 16S ribosomal RNA". It matches the Rfam family "Bacterial small subunit ribosomal RNA", at positions 524 to 776 of the family's 1533-position model. The record is from RNAcentral.